Molecule: ribosomal RNA, 191 nt
Filed under: uncultured bacterium
Lineage: Bacteria
Description: partial 16S rRNA
Rfam family: Bacterial small subunit ribosomal RNA
Source: RNAcentral
CCUACGGGAGGCAGCAGUCGGGAAUUUUGGGCAAUGGGCGAAAGCCUGACCCAGCAACGCCGCGUGAAGGAUGAAAUCCCUCGGGAUGUAAACUUCGCAAGAACGGGAAGAAUAAGCGAGAGUUAAUAUCUUUCGCGAUGACGGUACCGUUUGUAAGCUCCGGCUAACUCCGUGCCAGCAGCCGCGGUAAU